GGCGAUGUCGUGUAGUGGUCUAUCACGUGGCACUUAAGCUGCCAUCCUCCUAGAGGUCGCCAGUUCGAAUCUGGCCAUCGUCA
This 83-nucleotide transfer RNA is filed under the name Pyramimonas orientalis virus. RNAcentral's name for it is "tRNA-Leu". It matches the Rfam family "tRNA". From Rfam's summary of the family: Transfer RNA (tRNA) molecules are approximately 80 nucleotides in length. Their secondary structure includes four short double-helical elements and three loops (D, anti-codon, and T loops). Further hydrogen bonds mediate the characteristic L-shaped molecular structure. tRNAs have two regions of fundamental functional importance: the anti-codon, which is responsible for specific mRNA codon recognition, and the 3' end, to which the tRNAs corresponding amino acid is attached (by aminoacyl-tRNA synthetases). tRNAs cope with the degeneracy of the genetic code in two manners: having more than one tRNA (with a specific anti-codon) for a particular amino acid; and 'wobble' base-pairing, i.e. permitting non-standard base-pairing at the 3rd anti-codon position. Lineage: Varidnaviria; Bamfordvirae; Nucleocytoviricota; Megaviricetes; Imitervirales; Allomimiviridae. The record is from RNAcentral.